This is a long non-coding RNA of Austrofundulus limnaeus, 246 nucleotides long. RefSeq lists it as uncharacterized. Lineage: Eukaryota; Metazoa; Chordata; Actinopteri; Cyprinodontiformes; Rivulidae. The record is from RefSeq and is a predicted model, not a curated record. The transcript has 3 exons.
CCUGAGUUUGUUUCUGUUAAUUAUCAGUGUCGGCUGUCUCAAGAAAUACUGCAGUAUUGUCAAACUAGCGGCCGACAGAAGAAGUUUUUAAAAAGUCAAACAUCCAUCUUUUCUUCAUGCUACUCUGGAAUACUGAGACUUGCAGAAAGUGCAUGGAGCAGGUCGCGUUGGCUAAAAAAGAGCCGCCGGAUGUGGAGGUUCAGCUGCUGAUUUAUGAGGUUUGCUGCUCGUCAUGAAAAGUGGUGC